Ixodes scapularis (black-legged tick) is the source of this 73-nucleotide non-coding RNA. Lineage: Eukaryota; Metazoa; Arthropoda; Arachnida; Ixodida; Ixodidae. The record is from Rfam.
CCCUGGCUAGCUCAGUUUGUAGAGCGCUCCACCUGUAAUGGAGAGGUCCCGGGUUCGAUACCCGAACCAGGCG